RNAcentral lists this ribosomal RNA (417 nucleotides) under Allocapnia recta (eastern snowfly). RNAcentral's name for it is "partial 16S ribosomal RNA". It matches the Rfam family "Archaeal large subunit ribosomal RNA", at positions 1938 to 2582 of the family's 2987-position model. Lineage: Eukaryota; Metazoa; Arthropoda; Insecta; Plecoptera; Capniidae. The record is from RNAcentral.
UUUAAAGUCUGACCUGCCCACUGAAUUUAAAAAAUUUGAAGGGCCGCGGUAUUUUGACCGUGCAAAGGUAGCAUAAUCAUUAGUCUUUUAAUUGAAGGCUGGAAUGAAUGGUUGGACGAGGUAUUGACUGUCUCAAUGUAAAUGAAAAUAGAAUUUAUCUUUUAAGUCAAAAGACUUAAAUAGUAUUAGAGGACGAGAAGACCCUAUAGAGCUUUAUAUUUAAAGAUUAUUAUUUAUUUGGAAGUAUUUUUAUAAUAGUGAUAUAAGUAUUUUGUUGGGGUGACAGGAAGAUAUAAUAAACUCUUUUUAGUUUAAUUACAUUUAUUUAUGAAUUGAUGAUCCAUUAUUAGUGAUUACAAGACUAAGUUACCUUAGGGAUAACAGCGUAAUCUUUUUCGAGAGUUCUUAUCGACAAAA